Molecule: small RNA, 132 nt
Filed under: Pedobacter sp. Leaf194
Lineage: Bacteria; Pseudomonadati; Bacteroidota; Sphingobacteriia; Sphingobacteriales; Sphingobacteriaceae
Description: Flavo-1 RNA
Rfam family: Flavo-1 RNA
Source: Rfam by way of RNAcentral
UUCUAAACCUGAUAACAGUGAAAAUCUUUUUUAUUGGCCAAAAGCAUAUGCCUUUUAGUUGGCACAAUAUUACUGCUAUCGGUAAAACUUACCGAAAGCACAAAAAAAUUGUAACGGAUAGCAGGGCUUAUG